This 746-nucleotide ribosomal RNA is filed under the name Lulworthiales sp. MV-2012. Its description in RNAcentral is "partial large subunit ribosomal RNA". It matches the Rfam family "Eukaryotic large subunit ribosomal RNA", at positions 118 to 893 of the family's 3401-position model. The record is from RNAcentral. Lineage: Eukaryota; Fungi; Ascomycota; Sordariomycetes; Lulworthiales.
AAAUCUGGCCUCGGCCCGAGUUGUAAUUUGCAGAGGAUGCUUCCGGCGACGUGCCUUCCGAGUCCCCUGGAACGGGGCGCCUGAGAGGGUGAGAGCCCCGUACGGCUGGACGCCGAGCCUGUGUGAAGCUCCUUCGACGAGUCGAGUAGUUUGGGAAUGCUGCUCUAAAUGGGAGGUAAAUUCCUUCUAAAGCUAAAUACCGGCCAGAGACCGAUAGCGCACAAGUAGAGUGAUCGAAAGAUGAAAAGCACUUUGGAAAGAGGGUUAAACAGUACGUGAAAUUGCUGAAAGGGAAGCGCUCGCGACCAGACUCGCGCCGGGCGGAUCAUCCAGCGUUCUCGCUGGUGCACUUCGCCCGGCCCGGGCCAGCAUCGGUUCUAGCGGGGGGACAAAAGCCCGGGAAACGUAGCUCCCUCCGGGGAGUGUUAUAGUCCCUCGCCUAAUAUCCCCGCCGGGACCGAGGACCGCGCCUCGUGCAAGGAUGCUGGCGUAAUGGUCGCCAGCGACCCGUCUUGAAACACGGACCAAGGAGUCGAACAUUCGUGCGAGUGUUUGGGUGGAAACCCCUCACGCGUAAUGAAAGUGAACGGAGGUGGGAGCUUCGGCGCACCAUCGACCGAUCCUGAAGCUUGUCGGAUGGAUUUGAGUGGGAGCAUGACUGUUCGGACCCGAAAGAUGGUGAACUAUGCCUGCGUAGGGUGAAGCCAGAGGAAACUCUGGUGGAGGCUCGCAGCGGUUCUGACGUG